GACGAACGCUGGCGGCGUGCUUAACACAUGCAAGUCGAACGGAAAGGCCCUGCUUUUGUGGGGUGCUCGAGUGGCGAACGGGUGAGUAACACGUGAGUAACCUGCCCUUGACUUCGGGAUAACUUCAGGAAACUGGGGCUAAUACCGGAUAGGAGCUCCUGCUGCAUGGUGGGGGUUGGAAAGUUUCGGCGGUUGGGGAUGGACUCGCGGCUUAUCAGCUUGUUGGUGGGGUAGUGGCUUACCAAGGCUUUGACGGGUAGCCGGCCUGAGAGGGUGACCGGCCACAUUGGGACUGAGAUACGGCCCAGACUCCUACGGGAGGCAGCAGUGGAGAAUAUUGCACAAUGGGCGGAAGCCUGAUGCAGCAACGCCGCGUGCGGGAUGACGGCCUUCGGGUUGUAAACCGCUUUCGCCUGUGACGAAGCGUGAGUGACGGUAAUGGGUAAAGAAGCACCGGCUAACUACGUGCCAGCAGCCGCGGUGAUACGUAGGGUGCGAGCGUUGUCCGGAUUUAUUGGGCGUAAAGGGCUCGUAGGUGGUUGAUCGCGUCGGAAGUGUAAUCUUGGGGCUUAACCCUGAGCGUGCUUUCGAUACGGGUUGACUUGAGGAAGGUAGGGGAGAAUGGAAUUCCUGGUGGAGCGGUGGAAUGCGCAGAUAUCAGGAGGAACACCAGUGGCGAAGGCGGUUCUCUGGGCCUUUCCUGACGCUGAGGAGCGAAAGCGUGGGGAGCGAACAGGCUUAGAUACCCUGGUAGUCCACGCUGUAAACGGUGGGUACUAGGUGUGGGGUCCAUUCCACGGGUUCCGUGCCGUAGCUAACGCUUUAAGUACCCCGCCUGGGGAGUACGGCCGCAAGGCUAAAACUCAAAGGAAUUGACGGGGCCCCGCACAAGCGGCGGAGCAUGCGGAUUAAUUCGAUGCAACGCGUAGAACCUUACCUGGGUUUGACAUGGAUCGGGAGUGCUCAGAGAUGGGUGUGCCUCUUUUGGGGUCGGUUCACAGGUGGUGCAUGGCUGUCGUCAGCUCGUGUCGUGAGAUGUUGGGUUAAGUCCCGCAACGAGCGCAACCCUUGUUCACUGUUGCCAGCACGUUAUGGUGGGGACUCAGUGGAGACCGCCGGGGUCAACUCGGAGGAAGGUGGGGAUGACGUCAAGUCAUCAUGCCCCUUAUGUCCAGGGCUUCACGCAUGCUACAAUGGCUGGUACAGAGAGUGGCGAGCCUGUGAGGGUGAGCGAAUCUCGGAAAGCCGGUCUCAGUUCGGAUUGGGGUCUGCAACUCGACCUCAUGAAGUCGGAGUCGCUAGUAAUCGCAGAUCAGCAACGCUGCGGUGAAAACGUUCCCGGGGCU
RNAcentral lists this ribosomal RNA (1346 nucleotides) under uncultured bacterium. RNAcentral's name for it is "partial 16S ribosomal RNA". It matches the Rfam family "Bacterial small subunit ribosomal RNA", at positions 28 to 1381 of the family's 1533-position model. The record is from RNAcentral.